Molecule: ribosomal RNA, 377 nt
Filed under: Acinetobacter baumannii
Lineage: Bacteria; Pseudomonadati; Pseudomonadota; Gammaproteobacteria; Moraxellales; Moraxellaceae
Description: bacterial SSU rRNA
Rfam family: Bacterial small subunit ribosomal RNA
Source: RNAcentral
UUUAACUGAAGAGUUUGAUCAUGGCUCAGAUUGAACGCUGGCGGCAGGCUUAACACAUGCAAGUCGAGCGGGGGAAGGUAGCUUGCUACUGGACCUAGCGGCGGACGGGUGAGUAAUGCUUAGGAAUCUGCCUAUUAGUGGGGGACAACAUCUCGAAAGGGAUGCUAAUACCGCAUACGUCCUACGGGAGAAAGCAGGGGAUCUUCGGACCUUGCGCUAAUAGAUGAGCCUAAGUCGGAUUAGCUAGUUGGUGGGGUAAAGGCCUACCAAGGCGACGAUCUGUAGCGGGUCUGAGAGGAUGAUCCGCCACACUGGGACUGAGACACGGCCCAGACUCCUACGGGAGGCAGCAGUGGGGAAUAUUGGACAAUGGGGGG